GUGCACGAUGGCGCAGUUGGUAGCACUGUUGCCUUGGAAGCCAGAAGGUUCUGUGUUCGACUCCCGGCCGGGGCU
This is a non-coding RNA of Ataeniobius toweri, 75 nucleotides long. The record is from the annotation of a GenBank genome assembly. Lineage: Eukaryota; Metazoa; Chordata; Actinopteri; Cyprinodontiformes; Goodeidae.